UGGAAGGGUGGCAGCUCCUGGGCAGCUGGGGAAUCGGCCAUGGUUCCUCAGAGAAUCACACUGCCAUUGGGGGAAGAACUAGCUGAGAUUAUGGUACAUUCACGACCCCAUUUCCUCAGAUUCACUCACAGAGGGCACCUCUUCUCACAUGCAUUGCAACACCAUGUACCUUCGUUCCUGCUCAUUCUGAGUUAGUAUCUGUUCUAGAUAAAGAGCUGUGAUUGACUAGUGGCUCAUCCUGUGCCCGUUCUUACAGAGGCGCCAUGUAGUAAUUGAGUUCUCACGUCACUUCUGAAAGACGGACUGCGAUCAUUCCUGUAUUCCAGAACAUCAACCUUUCUCCACUCGGCAAAGACAAGUUUCAACAGAUACUGGGUUCAACGGGAGACGCAUUUUCCAUUUUCCAUGGCAAAGAAUCCGAGCACCGGAAUAAGUCAGAGGUAUCAUUUGCCGAAUGUGUUUGUAAAGACAGUUUAAUUUCAGGCCCUUUAUUUGCGAGAGAGCUGGCUAACCCAAAUAAAACAUUAUCCAUC
Myotis lucifugus (little brown bat) is the source of this 533-nucleotide long non-coding RNA. RefSeq lists it as uncharacterized. The record is from RefSeq and is a predicted model, not a curated record. The transcript is spliced from 2 exons. Lineage: Eukaryota; Metazoa; Chordata; Mammalia; Chiroptera; Vespertilionidae.